Molecule: microRNA precursor, 194 nt
Filed under: Medicago truncatula (barrel medic)
Lineage: Eukaryota; Viridiplantae; Streptophyta; Magnoliopsida; Fabales; Fabaceae
Description: miR2647a stem-loop (mtr-MIR2647a, mtr-MIR2647b, mtr-MIR2647c)
Source: miRBase by way of RNAcentral
AAUUCACGGGGACGAACCUCCUUCGUUGAAAGUUUGCUUUAUUCUUUUGAUAUAUCUAUCCAUGAUACAAGGAAGUAAUGCAUUUAAGUUCAAUCAAGCUUGGCCUUCAUCAGAAUUUCCGUUGACGGGACUCCACAGGAGGUACAACCUUUAAGUUGAUACUGAGGGAUGGAGGGAGGGUUGCCCCUGUUGAA